This 256-nucleotide ribosomal RNA is filed under the name uncultured bacterium. RNAcentral's name for it is "partial 16S ribosomal RNA". It matches the Rfam family "Bacterial small subunit ribosomal RNA", at positions 521 to 776 of the family's 1533-position model. The record is from RNAcentral.
UAAUACGGGGGGGGCAAGCGUUGUCCGGAAUUAUUGGGCGUAAAGGGCGCGUAGGUGGGACAGCAAGUCUGGGGUGCAAUCUUACGGCUUAACUGUAAGCUUGCCCUGGAUACUACUGUUCUUGAGUUCGGAAGAGGGUAGUGGAAUUCCUGGUGUAGCGGUGAAAUGCGUAGAUAUCAGGAAGAACACCGGUGGCGAAGGCGGCUACCUGGUCCGAUACUGACACUGAGGCGCGAAAGUGCGGGGAGCAAACAGG